Molecule: transfer RNA, 84 nt
Filed under: Microcaldota archaeon
Lineage: Archaea; Nanobdellati; Microcaldota
Description: tRNA-Ser
Rfam family: tRNA
About the family: Transfer RNA (tRNA) molecules are approximately 80 nucleotides in length. Their secondary structure includes four short double-helical elements and three loops (D, anti-codon, and T loops). Further hydrogen bonds mediate the characteristic L-shaped molecular structure. tRNAs have two regions of fundamental functional importance: the anti-codon, which is responsible for specific mRNA codon recognition, and the 3' end, to which the tRNAs corresponding amino acid is attached (by aminoacyl-tRNA synthetases). tRNAs cope with the degeneracy of the genetic code in two manners: having more than one tRNA (with a specific anti-codon) for a particular amino acid; and 'wobble' base-pairing, i.e. permitting non-standard base-pairing at the 3rd anti-codon position.
Source: RNAcentral
GCCGGGGUGGCGGAAUCCGGUAACGCGCCGGUCUUGAAAACCGGUUUCCCUCGGGAAUUUUGGGUUCAAAUCCCAACCCCGGCG